AUGGUGGACUUUGCAUUGCCUGAGGAUCUGAAGAUGAAAAUAGUAGAGUUAGUGGGUUCCAAUGUGAAACCGACGCUGGUUCGCGAUUUGACGUUUUGUGAGCACGAUUUUGGCAAUCGUUUGGUGCUUGUGCUACCUGAGUCUUUGUCUGGCGUGCCAAUCAAUCUGAAGAAAAGGUAGUCGCUUACCGUACGGAUGAUCGGACCUUCGCUUAAUGUGUUUGAUAUGACUCUUAGUAGGAGUGCAGAUGGUGGACAUGUGUUUUAAAAGAUUGGAACUCAGUGAUGCAAACAGAGAAUUUUAAAAAAGGAGACACUGUGUAUCUAUGGUCCUUCAAAGACCCUGACGACAUUCUUUGGUUUGUUAUGCAUGCAUAA
RNAcentral lists this long non-coding RNA (377 nucleotides) under Prunus dulcis (almond). Its description in RNAcentral is "sRNA ncRNA". Lineage: Eukaryota; Viridiplantae; Streptophyta; Magnoliopsida; Rosales; Rosaceae. The record is from RNAcentral.